RNAcentral lists this long non-coding RNA (3061 nucleotides) under Manihot esculenta (cassava). RNAcentral describes it as "long non-coding RNA (MESC_LNC003618)". Lineage: Eukaryota; Viridiplantae; Streptophyta; Magnoliopsida; Malpighiales; Euphorbiaceae. The record is from RNAcentral.
UGUUCUCAGUUUGUUCUGCUGCUAUAGAAAUCCACACCAAUAAAUAAGUAUUGAGCGAAUGCUUUCAAUUUAAAAUUUUAAACACAAUAGGCUGAUGUUUCAUCCCAAUGAAUAUAGAUUUUUCUUGAGAGUUUGUUGCUCCUUGAUAGUUUCAUCUAAGAAUUUGACCUCCUUUCACAUCUAUUCUUGAGUCAGAUUGAAAAAGUCAGGAUGUAAGCCAAAUUAUUGGUAUAAUCAAGGUUUAUCCAACACCCUCAACUGUGCAGAAUAUCAUCUAAAGCAUGGGGAUGAUAACAAACUCAAAAGGUAUAGAACAUUGCUGUAGUCAUUGUCAACUUUUCUUAACUUCUUUAAUUAAAACCAGAUAUUCAUAUCCUUUUCUGCAGCAAGAUCUUUUUAAUUCCUUGAACAUGUAAAUUGUCAAGGUCUUGAUAGACUCUGACCACAAGAAGAGAAAUGCAAUGUGGAGCAGUAUAUCUCAGUCAAGUACCGUCAAUACGUUAGAACUGUUGUUGGAGGAAAGAUAGAUUUCUCUACUCUUUGCAUUCAACAAGAUAGCUCAGGGGCUGCAUCACCUGACAUGCUAAAGUUGGCUAGGAUAGUUUUGGAGAGAUCUCUACGAUCUUCUCUGGAAACAAUAUUCCUGAUUUGGAUAACACCCAGUUAAAGCCAUCAAGGUUGCUUGAACCUCGUUUCCAGGGAGUUUCAUCUUAAUACCUGAAAUCCAAGCUCAAAACAAAAUUUUGACGCACUGUGGAUUACCUGAUUAUAAGUAUCAUGUCCUCUUUAAGCAGAAGUACAAGUCUGCAAUGAUAUUAGUUGCGGAGAAUGAUCCUUUCUUCAAACACAUGUAAAGAGACUGCCAAUAGUCAAGAAAAGUAAUUAGUUUGCGAGCCACAAGGAAACAAAAGUUGUCGCGGCACCGGAGACUUGGUUGGAUUUGAGGAUCAUUCAGUACUGAGUAGCAGCAGCUCCUUCAAGUACGCUUAGAUUGCUUCAGUAGCAGAUAUGAAUGUCUGCAAACCAGGAGGUUCUGAAUUUGGUUAACUAAUAACCAGCUGUUGACAAAUAAUAUUUCUUUUAAACAUAUUAUAGAUGAAAUUAUGCUAAAAACAACUAACCAUUGUAAUUUCUGGGAUUAUUUAACUUGAUUCAAUUGAUUUGCUUACGAAUUCAAAUGUCAAGGAACCUUUGAAAAUUACAAUCUAACACUAUUCAACAUUUGCUAGCUUGGAUACUCGAACUUUUUCCAUACCUUCAUUCAAUCAUGUAAUGAGAAGAGACAUACACUAAAUUAAUGUCAAGUUGAACAUUAAAAUAAGUUUUUUCUUGUGAAUUUGUCUCUAUGUAAGGUCUUGUCCUCAAGGCAUCUUCAAAGGCAUAACUUAAUGCGUCUACUUUUCUUCUGCGAUAGAGUCUAAAUGGCCUUAAGGACUAAGAGCAAGAGUACUUCAUCUUGCCUCUGAAAUUUUCCAUGGUCUAAUAUAAUUGCCUCCACUAGAAAUGCACCUUCCUUGAAAUUGCUAAGGAAGCAAGCUUCUCUUCUUCGUCAAGCAAAGAUUCCAACUGGCUUGACUCAAAGCCAACUAGCCAAGUCCCCUCUAGAAUAUUAAGUCUACCUUGUUAAGCAGGUCCUUAAAUGGUCGCUUUCACUUAAGAAUUCAAACCCCCCCUCCCCCAAAACCAACCAACCCAAAAAGUUAAAAAAAUGAUUCAUGACUCAGAUUGAUAGAAGUCAGGACGUAAGCCAAACGUUGGUAUAAUCAAGGUUUAUUCCUGAUUCUCAAGCCACCCAUUAAUCAGAUUACAUCAGCCAAUCCUGCAUAAGGUCCUCUUAACCAUGGUUAGAAUAACAAAUCAAAACCAUGGUUUCAUGGUUUCAAGUUUUAGAGGAUUGCUAUUGUCAUUGUCAGUGUGCUUUUCUUCAUAGUGACUUGUUUUUUAAUUUCAUUAAUAAUUAGCACCACACCUUCAGAUCCAACUCUGCAACAAGAAAUGUUUUGUUCAGUUUGGCCGGGUCUUCCCUUCACACCUGCUUCAUUUUCUUCCACCAAAUUUCCCAUCUCUCGCCAUUUCUAGAAGUCAACUUUUUGUUUCUUGAAUUCUCAUCUACAUGUUCAGUCUGUUAUCAGAGAUUUUCACAACCUUGGCUUUUGCCCCCCCUCCCAUCAUCUCUUCUAUCUAUUUAUUCGUUUCUUAAAAUUUCUUGAUAUAGAACAGCAAGACAGGUCUGCAAGAAUAACAUAAUUUUAGACAAUAAAUUCCAUGGGGACCAACACCAAAGAAGAGAAUGUCUCACGUGCAGGAUCAAAGGUAAGCUACUUUAGCUCGAUAAAAUGUUGACUGCUUAACAAUUCUUAGAGAAUCUAAUUGAACUGCUAAAAAAAUUCUAGGCCGUGAUGGAAGGUCAACACAAAAAAUCCCUUUUUGCAUCUAUAGCCAAGCCUCCGACAGAUAGUGGCAGACCAAGCAGUAUGGUUGUGAAGGUAAAAUUUCUCUGCGGACAUUCUCUACAAUGUUUUCUAUGUGAAUAUGUAAGAAUCUGAUUAAAGUUCUGAUCUUUUUUACUAAAUUGGGGACUAAACAGAAAGCACAUACCGUGAUUCCUGCGCAUAUUGUAGCAGAAGCCAUAUCAACAAUCCGAGGUCUUGACCUCAGAUGGUCAGGUCCGAUAACUCCAUCAGAAAUGCAAUAUGUUGAACAGUAUGUGUUGGCAAAGUAUCCCCAAUAUGCUGGUCUUGUUGUUGGAGAAAAGAUAGAUCUCUCUACUCUUUGUAUCAAUGAAGAGGCUUCAGAAACUGCAACUGAUGACAAGAGAAAAUCGCCCAGGAGUAGUUUCAGAGAGGCCUCCUCACCAUCAAACGGAGGCAAUCUCCCAGAUUUGGACAGAACCCAGUUGGAGCCAUCAAGGCUUCUUGAUAUCCUCACCAAGAAAUCCUCAUUUCCAGGGAGCUUCAUCUCAAUACCUGAAAUCCAAGCUCAAAACAAAGUUUUAAAGCACUGUGGAUUACCUGAUGAUGAGUAUCUUGUGCUCUUCACUCCAAACUACAAGGACGCAAUG